AGGUAAGCAGUCAGACUCCCAGCUGCCAUGUGACGUUGUUGUCCAUCCGCGCACAGAUUUGAGGAAACCGGCUACUUUUGUCUGUAGCUCCAGGAAACGAUCACAUCUGUCAUCGAUCCGGUCGAGUUUGAUCGAUCCUCAGCAAUGGAUAAAUUAAAAUCGGUUUUAAGUGGAGAAGAGUCGCGCAGAGAUGACCGGACCGUCUUAGAGACCGUGAACGAGGCCUCCACUCUGGGCUGGGGCACACGUUUGAAGGGAUUCAUCGCCUGUUUUGUGGUGGGGGCCGCCUGCACCAUUUUGGGAGUUUGUAUGCUCUUCAUCCCCAGGAUCGGACUCAUGCUCUUCAUCGUCUUUUACACUUUUGGAAACAUAUGUGCUCUGUGCAGCACCAUGUUUCUGAUGGGGCCACUGAAGCAGCUGAAGAGGAUGUGUGACAAAACAAGAGCCCUGGCCACCACUAUCAUGAUUACUUGCCUUGUGUUGACUCUCUGUGCAGCCUUCUGGUGGAAGAACUUUGGACUUGCUUUGUUAUUUUGCAUCUUGCAAGUCUUGUCAUUUUCCUGGUACAGCCUGUCGUACAUCCCCUGCGCGAGGGAGGCGAUAAUGAAGAUGGUGGCGAUCUGCUUGAAAUGAGCCCAGUUUCUGUGCGAAAGGUUCAGGCUGGAUGAAGCGAAGGGGGCAGGUCUCUCACUGAAGUCACUGAAACAGCCUUGAUGUGGUUCUGCCUCAGAGAGUCCGGGACUCUUCUGUUUCUUUUUCUUUUAUGCUUCAUUAAUUGAGCUGAUUGAGUUUUGGAAGGUGUCCACACUGAAAACUGAAUGACCACUGCCAACAGAAGGAGGAGCUCAUGUAUGGACAAAGGAGACUGCAUGUACUUCCUUAGUUCUGAAACGGGCUGUGGUGGUGAUGAUGAUGAUGAUGAUGAUGCCAAGAAAACCACUUCCAGUUCAUCUUCCUCUUGUGAGAGGACAAACCAGCCAUUUAGACAUUUAUUUAGUGUGUUAUUCUCUGUCCUCAGUGUUCACAGGUUCAGUUUCUUGCCUUUUACUUCAUUUCUACUGUUGUUGAUAGAUGAUAGUAAUAACAGUUUUAAGAACAGAAGCUAUAAAGAUUACACUGGAAUUAAGUUGUGGAUCAACUCUAGCACAGUCACCACCUUCACAGGUGACAGUAUUUACCAGUUUAACAUCAAAACGUUAUUCAGUAUCAAACAGCUAGAACUGACUGACCAGAAGUGCAACCUGGAGCAAAACCAGACUCUUCAUAGAUGUGAUGCUGUUUCCUCAUAGGUGUAUGUAUUAGCCUUACACACUGUUUAGUGUGAACUGAGAAUUGACAGUUAAGAUUUUGAAGCAGUUGUCAGUGUAGUACAGCUCAUGUACAUUAGUUUCAUUCAUAACUUAGUUAUUGUCAUUGAAAAGGUUUUUAAUAAAUAAACCUACUGUGAUUAACUUGUA
RNA transcript from Seriola aureovittata, 1457 nucleotides. It is a transcript of the gene named SFT2 domain containing 2a, with no coding region annotated. Lineage: Eukaryota; Metazoa; Chordata; Actinopteri; Carangiformes; Carangidae. The record is from RefSeq and is a predicted model, not a curated record. The transcript is spliced from 9 exons.